GACGAACGCUGGCGGCGUGCUUAACACAUGCAAGUCGAGCGGGAAACUUCGGUUUCCAGCGGCGGACGGGUGAGUAACACGUGGGCAACCUGCUUCACAAUGAGGGAUAGCCUUCCGAAAGGAAGAUUAAUACCUCAUAACACAAGAGAAACGCAUGUUUAUUUUGCCAAAGAAUUUCGUUGUGAGAUGGGCCCGCGGCGCAUUAGCUUGUUGGUGAGGUAACGGCCCACCUAGGCUUCGAUGCGUAGCCGACCUGAGAGGGUGAUCGGCCACAUUGGAACUGAGACACGGUCCAGACUCCUACGGGAGGCAGCAGUGGGGAAUAUUGCACAAUGGAGGAAACUCUGAUGCAGCAACGCCGCGUGAGUGAUGAAGGUCUUCGGAUUGUAAAGCUCUGUCUUCUGGGACGAUAAUGACGGUACCAGAGGAGGAAGCCAUGGCUAACUACGUGCCAGCCGCCGCAGUAA
RNAcentral lists this ribosomal RNA (467 nucleotides) under uncultured bacterium. Its description in RNAcentral is "partial 16S ribosomal RNA". It matches the Rfam family "Bacterial small subunit ribosomal RNA", at positions 28 to 523 of the family's 1533-position model. The record is from RNAcentral.